This 289-nucleotide ribosomal RNA is filed under the name uncultured bacterium. RNAcentral describes it as "partial 16S ribosomal RNA". It matches the Rfam family "Bacterial small subunit ribosomal RNA", at positions 335 to 642 of the family's 1533-position model. The record is from RNAcentral.
UUUCCUACGGGACGCAGCAGGGGGGAAUAUUGCACAAUGGGCGAAAGCCUGAUGCAGCAACGCCGCGUGAAGGAAGAAGGUCUUCGGAUCGUAAACUUCUGUCCUUGGGGAAGAUAAUGACGGUACCCUUGGAGGAAGCCCCGGCUAACUACGUGCCAGCAGCCGCGGUAAUACGUAGGGGGCAAGCGUUAUCCGGACUUAUUGGGCGUAAAGAGUGGGUAGGUGGUUACUUAAGCGCGGGGUUUAAGGCAAUGGCGCAACCAUUGUUCGCCCUGCGAACUGGGUUACU